This 301-nucleotide ribosomal RNA is filed under the name uncultured bacterium. Its description in RNAcentral is "partial 16S ribosomal RNA". It matches the Rfam family "Bacterial small subunit ribosomal RNA", at positions 509 to 807 of the family's 1533-position model. The record is from RNAcentral.
CAGCAGCCGCGGUAAUACGAAGGGUGCAAGCGUUAAUCGGAAUUACUGGGCGUAAAGCGUGCGUAGGUGGUGGUUUAAGUCCGUUGUGAAAGCCCUGGGCUCAACCUGGGAAUUGCAGUGGAUACUGGAUCACUAGAGUGUGGUAGAGGAUAGUGGAAUUUCCGGUGUAGCAGUGAAAUGCGUAGAGAUCGGAAGGAACAUCUGUGGCGAAGGCGACUAUCUGGGCCAACACUGACACUGAGGCACGAAAGCGUGGGGAGCAAACAGGAUUAGAUACCCGAGUAGUCCCUGUCUCUUAUAC